RNAcentral lists this unclassified non-coding RNA (147 nucleotides) under soil metagenome. RNAcentral's name for it is "partial internal transcribed spacer 1". The record is from RNAcentral.
CCUAGUUUACAACUCCCAAACCCCUGUGAACAUACCACUUGUUGCCUCGGCGGAUCAGCCCGCUCCCGGUAAAACGGGACGGCCCGCCAGAGGACCCCUAAACUCUGUUUCUAUAUGUAACUUCUGAGUAAAACCAUAAAUAAAUCA